UACAGAGGUCCCAAGCGUUGUUCGGAUUCAUUGGGCGUAAAGGGUGCGUAGGCGGCGAGGUAAGUCGGGUGUGAAAUCUCGGGGCUUAACUCCGAAACUGCAUUCGAUACUGCCGUGCUUGAGGACUGGAGAGGAGACUGGAAUUUACGGUGUAGCGGUGAAAUGCGUAGAUAUCGUAAGGAAGACCAGUGGCGAAGGCGGGUCUCUGGACAGUUCCUGACGCUGAGGCACGAAGGUCAGGGGAGCAAACAGG
Molecule: ribosomal RNA, 253 nt
Filed under: uncultured bacterium
Lineage: Bacteria
Description: partial 16S ribosomal RNA
Rfam family: Bacterial small subunit ribosomal RNA
Source: RNAcentral